GGAGAGUGCGAACGUUGUUCGGAUUCACUGGGCGUAAAGGGCACGUAGGCGGCCUGGCAAAUCAGUCGUGGAAUCCCGACGCUUACCGUCGGAACGGCGGCUGAAAAUACCAGGCUUGAGGGCGUGAGGGGUCACUGGAACUCCCGGUGAAGCGGUGAAAUGCGUAGAUAUCGGGAGGAACGCCGGAGGCGAAAGCGAGUGACUGGCGCGUUCCUGACGCUGAGGUGCGAAAGCUAGGGGAGCAAACAGGAUUAGAUACCCUGGUAGUCCUAGCCGUAAACGAUGGACACUGAGUGAAGGGGGGCUUGCCCCUCUUUGCUGCAGCUAACGCGUUAAGUGUCCCGCCUGGGGAGUACGGCCGCAAGGUUA
This 369-nucleotide ribosomal RNA is filed under the name uncultured bacterium. Its description in RNAcentral is "bacterial SSU rRNA". It matches the Rfam family "Bacterial small subunit ribosomal RNA", at positions 527 to 896 of the family's 1533-position model. The record is from RNAcentral.